Molecule: ribosomal RNA, 413 nt
Filed under: uncultured bacterium
Lineage: Bacteria
Description: bacterial SSU rRNA
Rfam family: Archaeal small subunit ribosomal RNA
Source: RNAcentral
UGUGCACCAGUCGAGAAAACUUUGCAAUAAGCGAAAGCUUGACAGGGCUAUCCCGAGUGCCAUCCGCUGAGGAAGGCUUUUACCCAGUCUAGAACGCUGGGGGAAUAAGGAGAGGGCAAGUCUGGUGUCAGCCGCCGCGGUAAUACCAGCUCUCCGAGUGGUGUGGAUGUUUAUUGGGCCUAAAGCAUCCGUAGCUGGCUAGGUUAGUCCCCUGUUAAAUCCACCGAAUUAAUCGUUGGAUUGCGGGGGAUACUGCUUGGCUAGGGGACGAGAGAGGCAGACGGUAUUUCCGGGGUAGGGGUGAAAUCCUAUAAUCCCGGGAAGACCACCAGUGGCGAAGGCUGUCUGCUAGAACGCGCCCGACGGUGAGGGAUGAAAGCUGGGGGAGCGAACCGGAUUAGAUACCCGGGUAC